Molecule: ribosomal RNA, 497 nt
Filed under: uncultured bacterium
Lineage: Bacteria
Description: partial 16S ribosomal RNA
Rfam family: Bacterial small subunit ribosomal RNA
Source: RNAcentral
GAUGAACGCUGGCGGCGUGCCUAAUACAUGCAAGUCGAGCGAACGGACGAGAAGCUUGCUUCUCUGAUGUUAGCGGCGGACGGGUGAGUAACACGUGGAUAACCUACCUAUAAGACUGGGAUAACUUCGGGAAACCGGAGCUAAUACCGGAUGAUAUUUUGAACCGCAUGGUUCAAAAGUGAAAGACGGUCUUGCUGUCACUUAUAGAUGGAUCCGCGCUGCAUUAGCUAGUUGGUAAGGUAACGGCUUACCAAGGCAACGAUGCAUAGCCGACCUGAGAGGGUGAUCGGCCACACUGGAACUGAGACACGGUCCAGACUCCUACGGGAGGCAGCAGUAGGGAAUAUUCCGCAAUGGGCGAAAGCCUGACGGAGCAACGCCGCGUGAGUGAUGAAGGUCUUCGGAUCGUAAAGCUCUGUUAUUAGGGAAGAACAUAUGUGUAAGUAACUGUGCACGUCUUGACGGUACCUAAUCAGAAAGCCACGGCUAACUACGUG